AUUGAACGCUGGCGGCAUGCCUUACACAUGCAAGUCGAACGGCAGCACGGGAGCAAUCCUGGUGGCGAGUGGCGAACGGGUGAGUAAUAUAUCGGAACGUGCCCAGUCGUGGGGGAUAACGCAGCGAAAGCUGUGCUAAUACCGCAUACGAUCUAAGGAUGAAAGCGGGGGAUCGCAAGACCUCGCGCGAUUGGAGCGGCCGAUAUCAGAUUAGCUAGUUGGUGGGGUAAAGGCCCACCAAGGCGACGAUCUGUAGCUGGUCUGAGAGGACGACCAGCCACACUGGGACUGAGACACGGUCCAGACUCCUACGGGAGGCAGCAGUGGGGAAUUUUGGACAAUGGGCGCAAGCCUGAUCCAGCAAUGCCGCGUGCAGGAUGAAGGCCUUCGGGUUGUAAACUGCUUUUGUACGGAACGAAACGGCCCUUUCUAAUACAGGGGGCUAAUGACGGUACCGUAAGAAUAAGCACCGGCUAACUACGUGCCAGCAGCCGCGGUAA
Molecule: ribosomal RNA, 500 nt
Filed under: uncultured bacterium
Lineage: Bacteria
Description: partial 16S ribosomal RNA
Rfam family: Bacterial small subunit ribosomal RNA
Source: RNAcentral